Non-coding RNA from Cinara cedri, 227 nucleotides. The record is from the annotation of a GenBank genome assembly. NCBI's taxonomy places the organism in Eukaryota, Metazoa, Arthropoda, Insecta, Hemiptera, Aphididae.
GACACCGUACCCCUGCGUGUACGAUUUUGUUGCGUUAGUCUAUUGGAGGUCGGCCUGGGCACACAUUCUCAAAGCGAAAUCUGCUAUACCGUCAAGCGGAUCCCUUGCUAUAAGUUCUUUAAUGAAUCUUAGGCGUACUAGAUAUCAAAUAGCUGCAGAGUCGGAUGGGGUCUCAAGGAUACCGGUGUGUCCAACACCACCGGACACAGGCGAUUCCCCACGAACGU